This 465-nucleotide ribosomal RNA is filed under the name uncultured bacterium. RNAcentral describes it as "partial 16S ribosomal RNA". It matches the Rfam family "Bacterial small subunit ribosomal RNA", at positions 28 to 507 of the family's 1533-position model. The record is from RNAcentral.
GACGAACGCUGGCGGCGUGCUUAACACAUGCAAGUCGAACGGAAAGGCCCUGCUUGCAGGGUACUCGAGUGGCGAACGGGUGAGUAACACGUGGGUGUUCUGCCCUGCACUUCGGGGUAAGCCUGGGAAACUGGGUCUAAUACCGGGUAGGAGCCAUCCUGAGUGUGAGGGUUGGAAAGUAUUUUGGGUGUAGGAUGAGCUCGCGGCCUAUCAGCUUGUUGGUGGGGUAAGGGCCUACCAACGCGGCGACGGGUAGGCGGCCGGGGGGGGUGGACGGCCACAAUGGGGAUGGGGUAAGGGCCAGGACCCCACCGGGGGCAACAGUGGGGAAUAAUGGACCAAGGGGGCGAGGCCGGUGCCAGGACGGCGCGUGGGGGAUGAACGGCUUCGGGUUGUAAACUCCUUUCGCUAGGGAAGAAGCUUUUUGUGACGGUAACUAGUUAAGAAGCACCGGCUAACUACGUG